Molecule: long non-coding RNA, 1563 nt
Organism: Gasterosteus aculeatus aculeatus (three-spined stickleback)
Lineage: Eukaryota; Metazoa; Chordata; Actinopteri; Perciformes; Gasterosteidae
Source: Ensembl
GCCGUCUAGAAUUCGGCGCUUGGGGGGGGAGGUGCUGUCACGGUUUGGUCUGCGUUUGAGUCCUGCCUUCCCCACACCCUGACAGGAAAGUGGAAGUUUGGACGGGAGGAGCUGCGUAUAGUGCGCCUAAGUAUGUAUUCCAAGGUAUGUACAGACAAAAUCAUGACGCGUUUGUAAUAUUGCUGCCUCACUGUUACGAUCACUGGCGGUCUAGGGACAGCCGUAACACUAAAAUUUGUCGAUGUAUCACGGGGGAGAGGUAAAUGAAAGGAGACAAGGCAGGCACGUUGUAAAAGAAAAAAAAACUGGGGUUUUAUUGUUCUCCCCGGACCCAGUCGAAAAGAGGGGGAUAAGCACCCCUACCUGAAUACAUUGGGGAAAGAACGUAGGCGGCGCCAACUGAGAGAACCAAGUAUAACCAAAACACCCCUACCUCGACCUACCCCUAUCCAAAGAAAAAGGUCGAAAGAAAAACGGAGUCUUCGCGCACUCGGCGCCUACACCUCCUAUCUAAUAACAAAAAUACAGGGGGUGGCGCUCACCUCUACCCUAGGGUGUCUAUACACAGGACAACUACGGGCAGGAUGUAUAUCGCGAUAUACUAACCUACCGUUCUUCCCCCCGGCGCGGUUUUGCAGCUGAUGCCGCUGAUGACACGAAAACACUUAUCCAAAACAGUCUGAAAUGCACAACAAUCUGGGUGCCGGAGAGCAGCCCACAAUCGGCGGCCCUGAGCGUCAGCAAUACUGAGAGGGGUUUCAGAGAAUGAGCCCGCCGUCCCUCUUAAGCAGCGGCUCCGUCUCCUGAUUGGCCCUCGUCCUCCGCCCCACUGACGACCGAUCCGCCAGUCACAGCGACCUAGAGGAGGGGCAAUUCACAGGAAACCAAUCAAAGUGUAAUCAAACAAUAAACAACACUCCUGCAGUGCACGGGGAACGUAACACCUCCCCCCUUAAGAACCAACUAUAUGUAAAAAAAACUACUCAGCAUAUAGUUGUUCAAACGAUCGUACUCACACGCCGCCAGAGGCAACUCUAGACAAGGCAUCGGCGAUCACGUUUUCUACGCCUCUUUUAUGUUUGAUUAUCAAAUUGUAUCCCUGUACAAUCAGCGCCCAGCGCAUCAAACGCUGAUUCUGAUUAUACAUACGAGAUAAGAAAACUAACGGAUUGUGAUCAGUAAACACGGUAACGGGACUAAUACUCGAUCCCACAUACACGUCAAAAUGCUGAAGGGCCAUCAGCAAGGCUAAUGCCUCCUUCUCGAUCGUCGAGUAGUUUAACUGGUGCUUAUUAAACUUGCGCGAGAAAUAGCAGACGGGAUGGUCAAUACCAUCUUUACCGCCCUGAAUUAGCACAGCUCCCGCACCCACGUAACUCGCGUCCACAUCGAGUUUAAAAGCAGAAUCAAAAUCUGGAGCGGCCAAAACAGGUGCGUUACACAGAAGAUCUUUGAUCGCGUUAAACGCAUGCUCACAUUCCGUGGACCACAAAAACGUCCGCGACGGACUGAGGAGCGACGUCAACGGCUGGGCAAUCGUCGAAAAGUUUUUACAGAAGCUGC